Molecule: ribosomal RNA, 277 nt
Filed under: uncultured bacterium
Lineage: Bacteria
Description: partial 16S ribosomal RNA
Rfam family: Bacterial small subunit ribosomal RNA
Source: RNAcentral
GAUUAACGCUGGCGGCGUGCCUAACACAUGCAAGUCGAACGAGGUAGCAAUACCUAGUGGCAGACGGGUGAGUAACACGUGGUCAACCUUCCCUUUAGUGGGGGAUAACUAGCCGAAAGGUUAGCUAAUACCGCAUACGAUCUAUGAGUGGCAUCAUUUAUAGAUGAAAGGAGCAAUCCGCUUAAGGAUGGGACCGCGUCCCAUUAGCUAGAUGGUGGGGUAAUGGCCUACCAUGGCUCCGAUGGGUAGCUGGUUUGAGAGAGCGACCAGCCACACU